Molecule: long non-coding RNA, 233 nt
Organism: Helianthus annuus (common sunflower)
Lineage: Eukaryota; Viridiplantae; Streptophyta; Magnoliopsida; Asterales; Asteraceae
Exons: 2
Source: RefSeq, a predicted model, not a curated record
CAUUUACUAGCUUAUCUGUACUCUUUGUGUAUCUGCCGAGCAAACCAAGGACCUUAGGUACUUUAUGGGAGCUUGCACAAGGAGGAGCAGGUCGUUGUGGGCAACGGAUUGAUAAACAUUUAUUACGUUUCAAACAAUUAUACUUAUGUUGGGUUUUACAUAAAUGCUUCCGCUACACUUACUUAUGUUGGUUUUGAUAAACACCUUUCGUAUUGAUUUUUAUUACUUAAUUA